GGACCCGCACAAGCGGUGGAGUAUGUGGUUUAAUUCGUCGCUACGCGCAAAACCUUACCGGCCCUUGACAUGUGACGUUUGAGAUUUAGAGAUAGAUCUCUUCACCUCGGGUGGCGUCAACACAGGUGCUGCAUGGCUGUCGUCAGCUCGUGUCGUGAGAUGUUGGGUUAAGUCCCGCAACGAGCGCAACCCUCAUCGUUAGUUGCAAAUUGCGAAAGCAAAGCACUCUAACGAAACUGCCGGUGAUAAGCCGGAGGAAGGUGGGGAUGACGUCAAGUCCUCAUGGCCCUUAUGGGCCGGGCUACACACGUCCUACAAUGGCGAUGACAAAGAGAAGCUAUGAUGUGAAAGUCGGAGCGAAUCUAUAAAAGUCGUCUCAGUUCGGAUUGUCUUCUGCAACUCGAAGGCAUGAAGUCGGAAUCGCUAGUAAUCGCAGAUCAGCAAGCUG
This 448-nucleotide ribosomal RNA is filed under the name uncultured Pseudomonadota bacterium. RNAcentral describes it as "bacterial SSU rRNA". It matches the Rfam family "Bacterial small subunit ribosomal RNA", at positions 917 to 1359 of the family's 1533-position model. The record is from RNAcentral. Lineage: Bacteria; Pseudomonadati; Pseudomonadota.